GCCCAUAGAAUCUACCCCUAGUUUUGUGAGUACUCGAUGAUUUUACCCUCUAUUUUGACAUCAAAUAUUUGGCGAAUACUUUCAAAGAAUAUUUACAGAAAAAGAUGCAAAUAUUCUAAAGGCGAGCAAAGUUUCUUGCGUGUGCUUAUAAUCAAUUAUCAGCGAAACUGGGACACUUAGUAUAAAGAAGUUAGGGAUAUUUAUAUUUUGCCUUUGAAUAACAAGAGUGACCGAAAAAAAAAACAAAAGUAAAAUCAAAACCGGCCUUCAAAUCCUACAAGUAGGAGUGCAAACGGAUCAGAUACCUUUGAUAUUAUAUUUAUUUUUAUAUAUUCAUUUCAAUUUGGAUUUAAAUACGGAUAAUAUCUACCAUAUCAGAUAAACUCCUCUAGUCGCAUUCAGACUCAAAUACUGCACCCAUACCUACAAGAGCAACAAUACGAUCUCCCAAAGUAAAAAAACAAACAAACAAGAACACUAGUAUGACAAAACUGCUGGCGCAUGGCCUACCUAGGUAAUGAUGCAUGUGCAUGUGGCAACUGUGGGUCUGAAGGUGGUGGGCAUGGGAAGCUCCACAGGGCACAGCGGCCCACCGAGCAUGCAAACCAGGACAUGCAUAUGCAUAUGGGGGCAAGCCCGCCAUUGCAGCCAACAAAAUGCUCCGCAGCCUUUUCGGCUGGGCCGGGAGGACGAGGGACGUCCCUACUCGCCCCUCGUCAUCCUCAGUCCUCAGACAGGAAUCAUUGCCAUCUCCUGACAAAAUAAUCACAUGGGAGUAGCC
RNAcentral lists this long non-coding RNA (781 nucleotides) under Sorghum bicolor (sorghum). Its description in RNAcentral is "long non-coding RNA (SBIC_LNC009154)". Lineage: Eukaryota; Viridiplantae; Streptophyta; Magnoliopsida; Poales; Poaceae. The record is from RNAcentral.